RNAcentral lists this ribosomal RNA (383 nucleotides) under Perkinsus sp. RNAcentral describes it as "partial small subunit ribosomal RNA". It matches the Rfam family "Eukaryotic small subunit ribosomal RNA", at positions 587 to 975 of the family's 1831-position model. Lineage: Eukaryota; Perkinsozoa; Perkinsida; Perkinsidae. The record is from RNAcentral.
AGCUCCAGUAGCGUAUAUUAAAGUUGUUGCGGUUAAAAAGCUCGUAGUUGGAUUUUCUUCAUGAAUGCCCGACUUUCUCUUCGGGGAUGCGUCUGGUGCGUUUAUGAAAUUCCUUAAAUUUUCACUUUGAUCUUAGUUGAGCUUUGUGAAGUUUAGGGCGUUUACUUUGAGGAAAUUAGAGUGUUUAAAGCAGGCAAUUGCCUUGAAUACGUUAGCAUGGAAUAAUGAUAUAGGACUUCGGUUCUCAUUUGUUGGUUUAAAGAGCUGAAGUAAUGAUUAAUAGGGACAGUCGGGGGCAUUCGUACUUAACUGUCAGAGGUGGAAUUCUUGGAUUAGUUAAAGACGAACUAAUGCGAAAGCAUUUGUCAAGGAUGUUUUCAUUG